This 253-nucleotide ribosomal RNA is filed under the name uncultured bacterium. RNAcentral's name for it is "partial 16S ribosomal RNA". It matches the Rfam family "Bacterial small subunit ribosomal RNA", at positions 524 to 776 of the family's 1533-position model. The record is from RNAcentral.
UACAGAGGGUGCGAGCGUUGUCCGGAAUCACUGGGCGCAAAGGGCGCGUAGGUGGCGACCCAAGUCCAUGGUGAAAGCUCGAUGCUCAACAUCGAGUCGGCCACGGAUACUGGGUUGCUGGAGCACUGUAGAGGCAGAUGGAAUUCCGGGUGUAGCGGUGGAAUGCGUAGAGAUCCGGAAGAACACCGGUGGCGAAGGCGGCCUGCUGGGCAGUAGCUGACGCUGAGGCGCGACAGCGUGGGGAGCAAACAGG